UGCAAAUCCUCCUAAUAAUGCAUUUUAAGCCUGGAUGCAUUGGUUCACUGAAACUGUAAUUCCACAGCACCCGUAGAGCUGAUGUGGAGCUGGGGAGUUGUUUAACAGACGGCUUCUUUCCGAGCUGACCCCACAGGGAGAAGCUAAUUUUGGAAGAAAUGGUGUUUUCCAUUCGUAUCACAUUGGUCAUUUCUCCUAAUGCCAUGUAUAACCAAGUGCCUCUUCCUCUCCCACCCUGGAGGACCCAAGCUGCUGUCAGCAAUGAAAGGCAGUUAGCAGCUCCCUGGUUGGAGUAGAUGAGCUUGAGAAGAGAGAAAGCUUGAGAAACAAAGAAGCACCUUAGUAACAACAGUGACCAGCAGAAAAUCUCUCUGAAUCAUUAUUGCACCCUUCUCCGCUGAGUCUUCAGCUUAGGGUACAGCUUGUGUCAAGCAGCCAAACAAAAGGUGAGGGUGUGUUAGAAAUGGGACGGAGUAAAUUUCAGCACGGCAUAAAACCAAGGCUUCUCUCUCAUCUGGAAUGCUAUAUGUCACUGCCAAGGGAAUUAAAGGAUGUUCAGAUAAGGAUGACAAGAAUAAUUUGAGACCUGAGGAAAAAAAAAUCUUAUACGGGGAGAGAUUGAAAAGAUAAGUGGUGUUUACGGUAGAAGGGAGCUAAAUAAGAAGGGCUGUGAUAAAAGCUCAUGCUGUCAGGGCCACGGUGAGG
This 705-nucleotide long non-coding RNA is filed under the name Anas platyrhynchos platyrhynchos (common mallard). RNAcentral's name for it is "lncRNA (ENSAPLG00000018953.1)". Lineage: Eukaryota; Metazoa; Chordata; Aves; Anseriformes; Anatidae. The record is from RNAcentral.